RNAcentral lists this long non-coding RNA (4726 nucleotides) under Homo sapiens (human). RNAcentral describes it as "non-protein coding lnc-NAA35-6:1". The record is from RNAcentral. Lineage: Eukaryota; Metazoa; Chordata; Mammalia; Primates; Hominidae.
AGAGAGGCUGAGAAAAGCAGUCUGUGUUUUCAGGGAGAAGGGGAGACUAAAUUAUGAUGGACAAUUAGCAGUCUGCCAAAAUGAUCUUGUUCCUCACUUUGCUGAGAAAAUAGAAGCAACUGGAAGAGAACUACUUUCUCCCACUGUCCAAUCUAUCUACUUAUCUCGACAUGUCCCAUAUACGUGGGAACUGGGGAAGAGGGGAUGGAUCCCUAGACUAACCUUGACCAGAAAGGGGAUCUUUCUUCCCAGGCUUUCAAUGAGAACAAUGUGGUCUUAAAGACCCUACUACCUAAUCACAAAGUGCAAACAUACCUUCUUUCCUUGUGCUUUUCAACCUCUGUGGUUUUGGAUAUUGUUGAGCAACACUCCUUCCAGCCCCGUUUUUGUGAAAGUCCAAUUUACCUUGUCUUGAUGAUUCUGCAUUACCCUAUUCUCCUCCCAUUUUCUGCUCCACCCCCUUUCUUUGCUGGCUUGGCUCACCUAGAUCAGAGCUUCUCAAACUUUUUGAUGUGGCACAAAUCUCUUCGGGUUCUUGUUAAGUUGAAGAUGCUGGUUCAGCAGGUCUGGGGUGGAGCCUGAGAUUCUGAGUUUCCAACUAAGGUCCUCAUGUCAGUGCUGCUGGGCCACUGACCACGUUUUGAGCAGCGAGACUCUGAAGAGGGUGUUUUCCAAGAUUCUGACUUUGUUUUCUUCUUUUAUCUCACAGCAAUAUCACUCCUAGGCUGAUUAUCUAUGAGUCUAUUUUCUAGCUCAGUCCUCUUUCCCAUAUUACAAAACCUUUAUUUCUAACUUAUUAGUGUCCAUGUCCGUCUGGCUGUCUUGACAACCCUUUGAAUUCUUAAAAUGUCUAAAUCUAAACUGAUCUUCUCUCAAGAAGUAGCUCCUUCUCCUUUCCUUUGUAAUUGUCUCUUUUCUCUCUUGCAAUUAUCUAGAAACUCAAAACCUCCACUUUCUUUGAUUUCUCUCUUCCUACCCACAAUUAAUCAAUCAGUUAGCAAAUUCUAUAGAUUCUGCAUGCACAUCAUCUCUCAACUAUGCUCUUUAAAUUCCCCUGGCUGUCCCUUUAGGUCAGACUCAUCAUUACCUUUUACCUGGCCUACAGUAGAUCUGUCAGUUUUUCCACCUCUGAUUUCUGCUUCCCUUCACAGAUAAAUCACUAGCAUAAAGAAAAAAAAAACCUUCCUUUUCUUCCCCCAAACUUCUGAACCAUAAAAACUCAAAAUACUGAAUUAAAUAUAAAUUCAUCCAUUUGGUAUCUUAGGCCCCAUACUCCUUUGUCUUUUCUACCUCUCAACAUACCUGGAGUCUUUGCUCUUUCCCCAACACAACUUUCACUGAUUCGCCUUCAUAUAUAUUCUCAUGCUAUCCCUUCUUGCUGUAAAACUCUCCCUGUCUCCUUCAAGGUCAAUCCCAAAUGCCUACUCCUUCAUGCUGCGUUUCUUUCCUUAUCCCCAAGACAGAUAUACACGGUUCUUUGAUUCCCGGCAGUACUCUGCCACUUUUCACGUGGCACCUAUCAUGGUUUGUCUUUUAUUGUCUGUUUUAUCUUUGUUUCAUUCCUUACUUCUUUGAAGGCAAAGGUAUCUUCAACUCCCCUCUAACUCUGAAGCAUCUUACCUGUGGGGCGUCUAAUAUUAGUUGAAUCAGGGGGAUUUAUGGAGAUAAUGGGAUGCGCUGGAAGCCAGUACAGCUGGGUGCCGGCUCUGCCGUUUAUUAGCUGUGAGGUUUUGGGUAAGUCACUUAACUUCGCCUGUAAAAUUAGUCCACUACGACCUGAUGGAGAACCAAGGGAGAUAACGUCAAAGCGCCCUGCAACUCUACAGGGAACUGAGCAAUGUUAGUUAUUUUCCUUACAGAGAUCUGAUGCACUCUUGCUACUGGAAUCUUGACUUGCAGGACCAUCCCUACUUCAUUGCCUGGAGGUCGAACCCCAAGUUGCAGGGAACCCAAGCUACCAGGUCCCACUGCCCUUUUCCACUCCAGGGACCUCUAACUGCUCUCCGCGACGCAGGUGAUCCUGCCUUGCUGCGGGGGAGUGGCCUGGAGUCUCAUUCCCUCGGGAGGCCUCCCUCCUUCCACCCGCUUGAGGAGAGCCCUUCUCUUCCCUGUGACCCCGAAGACCGUGGCGCCGCCGCCCACGUGAGGCGUUUGGACCCUGCCCGGCCCCCGUAGCUCCCUUUCUCCAGCAGGUGGUUCUGGUCCUCUCCCCCAACUCGGGCGCUCACGUCACCGGCGAACCUCUAACCAGCGCCAGCGCCGCUACCAACCGGGAAAAUAAACAAACCCCCGCGCUCGGCGGACGCGCCAGGCCCCGCCCCCGCCCCGAGGCUCUCACGCCGCCCCCUCCGCCCGGGCUUCCCGCUACCCUCCGCCCGCCUGCUCGCAGCUGCGCUCUUCCCGCCCCUCACCGCGGCCUGCAGCCGCGCUCACCGCCGCAGUCCGCCCCGGCGCCCCGGGACCCGUUAGUGCCCAGCCUGUGGGCCGACCGCGACCCCCGCCCGGCGCGAGCCUGCCCCCAGCUCUGCCGACACUUGACCCAGACCAGUCCCAACGCCCAGUGCGGCCGCCUGGGGAGCCGCGGGAGAGGCGGCGGCGGGGGGAGGAGGGAGAGGAGGGCCGAGCCGGCGGCCCGGGAGGCCCGGUUUUGAAGCCGCUUCUCUGGCCGAGUUAGGUUUCGCCCAGCGCAAUUUCUUUCUCUAUGUACUUUGCGAAUAAGUUUCGGAGCAUCGGUUAACAGCCUAUGGGUGAAAUUUGGCUUUCAUUCAUGAAUGAGGAAUCCAGAUCUUACAUAAGAUGGAAGUCUCUCACACUAGAUACUGAACAUUAAAUAGAAAAUCUAUUUAGUAAAAUCUAAGUUGCCAAGGAAGAAAUACCAGUAAAAGUUGCUGUAAGAAUUAGACCUCUGCUUUGCAAAGAAGUUCUUCAUAAUCACCAAGUUUGUGUGAGAGUUAUUCCAAACAGCCAGCAAGUUAUCAUUGGGAGAGAUAGAGUCUUCACUUUUGAUUUUGUUUUUGGCAAAAAUUCCACUCAAGAUGAAGUUUAUAACACAUGUAUAAAGCCCCUAGUGUUGUCACUCAUUGAGGGCUGUAAUGCAACUGUUUUUGCCUAUGGACAAACUGGAUCUGGGAAGACAUACACCAUUGGAGGGGGCCAUAUUGCUUCAGUUGUGGAGGGCCAAAAGGGUAUCAUUCUUCGAGCUAUUCAAGAAAUAUUUCAAAGCAUCUCUGAACAUCCUAGCAUUGACUUUAAUGUGAAAGUAUCUUAUAUAGAAGUGUACAAGGAAGACCUAAGAGAUCUUCUAGAAUUGGAGACAUCCAUGAAAGAUCUUCACAUCCGAAAAGAUGAAAAAGGAAACACAGUGUGUGCUUGCUGCUGAUGAAGUAGUAUUUAAUCAGAAGGAACUGGAGGUUAAGGAACUGAAGAAUCAAGUGCAGAUGAUGGUACAGGAAAACAAAGGGCAUGCUGUAUCUUUGAAAGAAGCGCAAAAAGUGAAUAGACUGCAGAAUGAAAAAAUAAUAGAACAACAACUUCUUGUGGAUCAACUGAGUGAAGAACUAACAAAACUUAACCUGUCAGUGACUUCUUCAGCUAAAGAAAAUUGUGGAGACGGGCCAGAUGCCAGGAUCCCUGAAAAGAGACCAUAUACUGUACCAUUUGAUACUCAUUUGGGGCAUUAUAUUUAUAUCCCAUCAAGACAAGAUUCCAGGAGGGGGAAUCACUUGCAAGGUCCACACAAGUCCGCCUAUGUACUCUCUGGAUCGAAUAUUUGCUGGAUUUCGAACACAAAGUCAGAUGCUGUUGGAUCACGUAGAAGAACGAGAUGAGGUCCUCCACUGCCAAUUUUCUGAUAACAGUGAUGAUGAAGAAUCAGAAGGCCAAGAGAAAUCUGGAACUAGAUGUAGAAGUCGUUCAUGGAUUCAGAAGCCAGACUCUGUUCCCUUGUUGAAUUGAGUGAUACUCAGGAUGAAACACAAAAGUCAGAUUCGGAGAAUGAAGAUUUAAAGAUUGAUUGUCUCCAGGAGAGUCAAGAAUUGAAUUUGCAAAAAUUAAAGAAUUCAGAACGCAUACUUACUGAAGCCAAACAAAAAAUGAGAGAACUUACAGUUAACAUCAAGAUGAAGGAAGAUCUGAUUAAAGAAUUAAUAAAAACAGGUAACGAUGCCAAGUCUGUAAGCAAGCAGUAUACUUUGAAAGUAACAAAGCUAGAGCAUGAUGCAGAACAGGCAAAAGUCGAACUAACUGAAACACAAAAGCAGCUACAGGAGCUGGAAAACAAAGAUCUUUCUGAUGUUGCAAUGAAGGUAAAAUUACAGAAAGAGUUUCGUAAAAAGGUGGAUGCUGCAAAGCUGAGAGUUCAGGUCUUACAGAAGAAGCAACAAGAUAGUAAGAAACUGGCAUCACUGUCAAUCCAAAAUGAGAAACGUGCUAAUGAACUAGAGCAGAGUGUAGAUCACAUGAAAUAUCAAAAGAUACAGCUACAAAGAAAACUACAAGAAGAAAAUGAAAAAAGGAAGCAACUGGAUGCAGUAAUUAAGCGGGACCAGCAAAAAAUCAAAGUAAUAUUGUCAUACAUUCCUGCUAAGUAUAAUAUGAAAUGUUAAACGGCUCAGAGCUAACGAAUCCAUGGUCUUCAUUCAGUUGGCUUGUGAAGUAUCUAUCCUUGACUUGCCCUUCACUGCUGUCCUUAUUCACUUUAAAGCUUUGUUCAUCUACAUAGUAAAAC